UACGUAGGCAGCAAGCGUUGUUCGGAGUUACUGGGCGUAAAGGGUGCGUAGGCGGUUGUUUAAGUUUGGUGUGAAAUCUCCCGGCUCAACUGGGAGGGUGCGCCGAAUACUGAAUGACUCGAGUGCGGGAGAGGAGAGUGGAAUUCCUGGUGUGAGCGGUGAAAUGCGUAGAUAUCAGGAGGAACACCGGUGGUGUAAACGGCUU
RNAcentral lists this ribosomal RNA (205 nucleotides) under uncultured bacterium. Its description in RNAcentral is "partial 16S ribosomal RNA". It matches the Rfam family "Bacterial small subunit ribosomal RNA", at positions 524 to 727 of the family's 1533-position model. The record is from RNAcentral.